CCUACGGGAGGCUGCAGUGAGGAAUAUUGGUCAAUGGACGCAAGUCUGAACCAGCCAUGCCGCGUGCAGGAAGACGGCUCUAUGAGUUGUAAACUGCUUUUGUACGAGGGUAAACGCAGAUACGCGUAUCUGUCUGAAAGUAUCCUACGAAUAAGGAUCGGCUAACUACGUGCCAGCCGCCGCGGUAAUACGGAGGAUUCAAGCGUUAUCCGGAUUUAUUUGGUUUAAAGGGUUCGUAGGCGGUCGGAUAAGUUAGAGGUGAAAUCCCGAGGCUCAACUUCGGAAUUGCCUUUGAUACUGUGCGGCGUGAGAGUACGUGCGGUAGGCGGAAUGUAUGGUGUAGCGGUGAAAUGCUUAGAGAUCAUACAGAACACCGAUUGCGAAGGCAGCUUACCAAGCUACUUCUGACGUUGAGGCACGAAAGCGUGGGGAGCAAACAGGAUUAGAUACCCGUGUAGUC
RNAcentral lists this ribosomal RNA (460 nucleotides) under uncultured bacterium. Its description in RNAcentral is "partial 16S ribosomal RNA". It matches the Rfam family "Bacterial small subunit ribosomal RNA", at positions 338 to 795 of the family's 1533-position model. The record is from RNAcentral.